This 75-nucleotide transfer RNA is filed under the name Marinilactibacillus psychrotolerans. RNAcentral describes it as "tRNA-Met". It matches the Rfam family "tRNA". Rfam says of the family: Transfer RNA (tRNA) molecules are approximately 80 nucleotides in length. Their secondary structure includes four short double-helical elements and three loops (D, anti-codon, and T loops). Lineage: Bacteria; Bacillati; Bacillota; Bacilli; Lactobacillales; Carnobacteriaceae. The record is from RNAcentral.
UCGCGGGGUAGAGCAGCUGGCAGCUCGUCGGGCUCAUAACCCGGAGGUCGCAGGUUCGAAUCCUGUCCCCGCAAU